Solanum lycopersicum (tomato) is the source of this 470-nucleotide non-coding RNA. NCBI's taxonomy places the organism in Eukaryota, Viridiplantae, Streptophyta, Magnoliopsida, Solanales, Solanaceae. The record is from RefSeq and is a predicted model, not a curated record.
UCACUUAGAAACUUAACUCAAUUUCCAAUACAUAAAAGUUAAUUAAACUUUCUUCAUAAAAUUUGUUAAACAUUAAAUAAAAUAUUUUAAAUAUGGCUUCAAGAUGUGAAGUUUUCUUGGAGAUUUUGCUUGCAAUCUUAAUUCCACCUCUUGGAGUUUUCUUUAGACAUGGUUGUUGCAGUUGUGAAUUCUUGAUUUGCUUAAUAUUAACCCUAUUAGGUUAUAUUCCUGGAAUUAUUUAUGCAAUUUAUGCAAUUGUGGUUCGUGGUUAUGAUCAAGAUGAAGAAUGGCGUCCUCUCACAGCCUAGUCAUUAUUAUAUUUUUUAAUUUUUAAUUUAUUAUUAUUUCUAUUUUUAUUUUUUUUAAUUUUUGGAUAAUAGGAAAACAAUAAUUUUACAUGAUUUAAUUGGUUCUUUAAUUGCAAAAAUUAAUAAAAGUUUAUCAUGUCCCUAUUUUUCAUUGAUUAGAAA